GCGCGGCCCGCAGCGGCCUCCCGCAGAGUUUCCGGCAGGACCGCAGGAAGCGCGCAUGCGCGGCCUCGCUCUGCCCGCAAGCUCUGCACGGGGCAAACUGUGUUCCUUUCCACUUCGGGACUGCAGGGGCUGGUUCGGUUCACGGAACUCGGAGGUUUUCCCCGCCCAGAGCUGAUGCGCACAGUUGAACAAGAGCAACUCAAUGAAGAGGUUGUUUUUAUAAUUCGUUGCUGAUCCCUUUUCUCCUCAUUCUGUGGGAUUUACCCAGCUGCUAGCCCCCCUGAGCACCCGGCGAUAGCUGGCAAACGUCAUCUACUGCCGGUAGCAUCACCUCGAAGGGGGCAGGAGGGCUCCAGGUCAGAGACACAUCGGGGAGACCGCCUCUGCGUGCUGUCAGGACGGACUGGCCGUGCUGUGUAACACACACGCCCAAGCCCGGAGUCUCACACGAGUCGCCUGCGGUGGCCUCCGACCCCCACGGGCCUCAUUCCUGGCGCCUGGUCUCAGGCAGGCCGCAGGUCCAGUCGGGAAGAAAGAACGCGGAGAAUCAGGAACCAGCUUUUCAGUGUUCGCCCUUGGGUGACGCAUGGCCCUUCUGAUGAAGGUCACGCCUCUUUCACCAUCCGUCCAUCCAAGUGGCAGUGGCCUCCUAAGUGUAGGCCAGUGACAUCCAGCUGCAUCUGGAAACUCAGCCCUGGGACAAAGUCCAGAUCCCCUCAGAGGACCCAGCAGAGGACCCGCCAGCCGGCAGGGCUCCCCGUUUCUCCUGGACACACUUCCCUCCGCCGCCGACCCUGCCUCCCUACAUCUCCCUCCACCGAGUCAGCGCUUUCCUAUUUCCACCACGGUUGAGUGAAUACGGUCCCCACGGCCACAUCUGGAGAUGAUGCGGCAGGGAGCGUCUGUGGAGGCUGACUCACUGGGCCCCUCCCUUCUGGGGAGACAGGAUUUGGGGGCCCGGGCUGCCCUGAGGCCAGCCCACCAUGGAGAGUGCUCCACAGCCAUCCUGUGCCCAUUCAGGGUGCAUUGUCAGAAGCCCUCGAAAGUAACAUUUGCCCCAAGACGGCUCCUUCCUCACCGGCAACGGCGUCUGCAUCAUCUGGCACCAGACACAGCUCUCGUGGGCCCUGGGAGCCAGGAUCCCUGGGGGUCUCAGAAGAUGUGCACUUCUCAGCGAGGCUCGGAAUCGCUGCCAAGAGGGAUUAGCCCUAGAAUCCAUCGGCGAUGAGCGUUUGUCCUGUUGACCUUCAGUGUCAUUGCUGGAGGCACAGGUCACUGGGCCCACCCCCAGGCCCUACCCAGCUGGCCUUGGAAAGCCUGAGAACCUGCAUUUCGACAAGUUCCUGGGGACCCUGCUCUGAGAAGGACUGGACGCGGACUCGUGAGGGUUUCACGGUGGGAUAAGGGUGUGGCCAGGACUGAGCUCAGCAGGUCAGGAGAGCAGCCAGAGAGGAGGUCCCGGAGGCCCCACCUGGCCGGAUUCAGGAGGCUCCCUCGUGCAGCCCAGCUUCAAAGUGACCCCAGCUGAUUCCUGUCAACCUUGCUGCGCUCAGACUCAGAAUUAGAUGAUCGUGUGUAUCGUUGCAUACGUGCAUGUGUGCGCAGGCAGGUUUGCUGGGUCACACCUCCUGUGGACAAUACCGUGCUGAACAACGUGCCUAAACCUCCACGUUUCCUGCAGCUGUGUUUCUCCGAGUUCCUGAUUCCGGUGAGGCUGACAUUGGACGGUCCCGGCCAGAACCCCAGGACGCCGCCCUCACUGCGCGACCCUAUUCAGAAAGCGGGAACACGUGUGGUCCUCGGGCAGGCGGGGUCCCAGACUGGCGGGUUGGGGCACGCCCACCCACUGCCUGACGUGUAGAAAAAACAGAAAUGUGUUCUAGAUACUUAAGAAUUAAUUUAAAAGUUUAAACUUUCGGGGAGCCUGGGUGGGCGACUGACUUCAGCUCAGGUC
Herpailurus yagouaroundi (jaguarundi) is the source of this 1954-nucleotide long non-coding RNA. RefSeq lists it as uncharacterized. The transcript has 4 exons. The record is from RefSeq and is a predicted model, not a curated record. NCBI's taxonomy places the organism in Eukaryota, Metazoa, Chordata, Mammalia, Carnivora, Felidae.